CUACGGGCGGCACCAGUGAGGAAUAUUGCACAAUGGGGGGAACCCUGAUGCAGCAACGCCGCGUGGAGGAUGACGCAUUUCGGUGUGUAAACUCCUUUUAUAUGUCAAGAAAAUGACGGUAGCAUAUGAAUAAGCACCGGCUAACUCCGUGCCAGCAGCCGCGGUAAUAUGGAGGGUGCAAGCGUUACUCGGAAUCACUGGGCGUAAAGGACGCGUAGGCGGGUUGGAAAGUCAGGUGUGAAAUCCUACAGCUUAACUGUAGAACUGCACUUGAAACUUCUAAUCUAGAGUAUGGGAGGGGGAGAUGGAAUUAGUGGUGGAGGGGUAAUAUCCGUAGAUAUCACUAGGAAUACCUAAAGCGAAGGCGAUCUCCUGGAACAUUACUGACGCUAAGGCGUGAAAGCGUGGGGAGCAAACAGGAUUAGAUACCCCAGUAGUC
Molecule: ribosomal RNA, 439 nt
Filed under: uncultured bacterium
Lineage: Bacteria
Description: partial 16S ribosomal RNA
Rfam family: Bacterial small subunit ribosomal RNA
Source: RNAcentral